Molecule: ribosomal RNA, 468 nt
Filed under: uncultured bacterium
Lineage: Bacteria
Description: partial 16S ribosomal RNA
Rfam family: Bacterial small subunit ribosomal RNA
Source: RNAcentral
GACGAACGCUGGCGGCGUGCUUAACACAUGCAAGUCGAACGGAAAGGCCCUGCUUUUGUGGGGUGCUCGAGUGGCGAACGGGUGAGUAACACGUGAGUAACCUGCACUUGACUUUGGGAUAACUUCAGGAAACUGGGGCUAAUACCGGAUAGGAGCUCCUGCUGCAUGGGGGGGGUUGGAAAGUUCCGGCGGUUGGGGAUGGACUCGCGGCUUAUCAGCUUGUUGGUGGGGUAGUGGCUUACCAGGGCUAUGACGGGUAGCCGGCCUGAGAGGGUGACCGGCCACAUUGGGACUGAGAGACGGCGCAGACUCGUACGGGAGGCAGCAGUGGGGAAUAUUGCACAAUGGGCGGAAGCCUGAUGCAGCAACGCCGCGUGCGGGAUGACGGCCUUCGGGUUGUAAACCGCUUUCGCCUGUGACGAAGCGUGAGUGACGGUAAUGGGUAAAGAAGCACCGGCUAACUAUGUG